UACAGAGGGUGCGAGCGUUAAUCGGAAUUACUGGGCGUAAAGCGUGCGUAGACGGUAGCGUAAGUCAGAUGUGAAAGCCCCGGGCUCAACCUGGGAAUUGCAUUUGAGACUGCUCUGCUCGGGUGCGGAAGAGGGAAGCGGAAUUUCCGGUGUAGCGGUGAAAUGCGUAGAUAUCGGGAGGAAUACCGAUGGCGAAGGCAGGUCUCUGGGCUGACACUGACGCUCAUGCACGAAAGCGUGGGGAGCAAACAGG
This 253-nucleotide ribosomal RNA is filed under the name uncultured bacterium. Its description in RNAcentral is "partial 16S ribosomal RNA". It matches the Rfam family "Bacterial small subunit ribosomal RNA", at positions 524 to 776 of the family's 1533-position model. The record is from RNAcentral.